GCUGCCAUCUUCCCUUCCCACCCCGCCUCAUCCCGCCUCGGAUGUGCGUGUGGUACCGAGCCUUCCCCGGGGCGGACCCCGCCUCGCUGGCCGCCCGCGCGGUGCCUCCUCAGCCUGGCCCUUCGCCUGGAGGGGCGAGGACGAAGUCUCCUACGACCGCGAGGUCCGGUCUCUCGUUAAGACGCUAAGCCCGCGCUCCUGUGUUUAGGCUAAUGUCAGGACAAGCUGUUCUUUAAAGAUGGAAGUUACUAUGAGGGCAAGUUUGUCAGCGGAGAAAUUAUGGGGAAUGGAUUUCAAUACUAGGCAUCGACAGUUCAAGGGAACACUUAUUCCAGUCAGUUUGUGUUUGGAAAGCUCCAUGGAUGUAAAGUCUUGCAAUAUAAAGAUGGUAGGAAAUAUGAAGGAGAGUUUCUCUAUGGAAUGAGAGACGGAAUGAGGAUAAUUAUGAAGGAGCCUGGAUUCUAGACAAGUGUCAAGGUCAUGGAAUAUUGCCUUGUGCUGUUGGAACAAUAUAUGAGGGGCAGUGGAGAAAUGACAUAUUCAAUGAACAGGGUGCUAUAGUUAAUUGUUCUGGUGACAUCUGUGAUGGACUGUGGAUCAAUGGCUACCCUGCUGCCUGUAGAAGUUUUGGAAGAAACCAUGGUGGAGCAGGCGUUUCUGUGCAGCCCAUGAAGACUACAGCGGAACAGAUAUUCACACUGCAGCCCAUGGAGGCCCCCACGCCAGAGCAGGUGAAUAUUUCCUGAAGGAACUGCAGCCCAUGGAAAGCCCACACAGGAGCAGGUUCUCCUGACAGGAACUGUGGCCUGUGGAGAAGCUAUGCUGGAGCAGGGGAAAAAUGUGA
Molecule: long non-coding RNA, 844 nt
Organism: Gymnogyps californianus (California condor)
Lineage: Eukaryota; Metazoa; Chordata; Aves; Accipitriformes; Cathartidae
Exons: 6
Source: RefSeq, a predicted model, not a curated record